UAUUCGGAAUUAUUGGGCGUAAAGGGCGCGCAGGCGGUCUUGUCCGUCAGGUGUGAAAGCUCGGGGCUCAACCCCGGAAGUGCACUUGAAACAGCAAGACUUGAAUACGGGAGAGGAGAGAGGAAUUCCUGGUGUAGAGGUGAAAUUCGUAGAUAUCAGGAGGAACACCGAUGGCGAAGGCAUCUCUCUGGACCGAUAUUGACGCUGAGGCGCGAAGGCGUGGGUAGCGAACGGGAUUAGAUACCCCGGUAGUCCACGCAGUAAACGUUGUACACUCGGUGUGGCGGAUAUUAAAAUCUGCUGUGCCCAA
This 310-nucleotide ribosomal RNA is filed under the name uncultured Desulfobacter sp. Its description in RNAcentral is "bacterial SSU rRNA". It matches the Rfam family "Bacterial small subunit ribosomal RNA", at positions 542 to 850 of the family's 1533-position model. Lineage: Bacteria; Pseudomonadati; Thermodesulfobacteriota; Desulfobacteria; Desulfobacterales; Desulfobacteraceae. The record is from RNAcentral.